CAGUCGCCACGGGAAUACGUAGGGUCCGAGCGUUGUCCGGAAUUAUUGGGCGUAAAGGGCUCGUAGGCGGUUUGUUGCGUCGGGAGUGAAAUCCUCCAGCUUAACUGGGGGCCUGCUUUCGAUACGGGCAGACUAGAGGCAUUCAGGGGAGAACGGAAUUCCUGGUGUAGCGGUGAAAUGCGCAGAUAUCAGGAGGAACACCGGUGGCGAAGGCGGUCUCUGGGCAUUAACUGACGCUGAGGAGCGAAAGCAUGGGGAGCGAACAGGAUUAGAUACCCGGGUAGUCCCUGUCUCUUAUACA
RNAcentral lists this ribosomal RNA (301 nucleotides) under uncultured bacterium. Its description in RNAcentral is "partial 16S ribosomal RNA". It matches the Rfam family "Bacterial small subunit ribosomal RNA", at positions 509 to 808 of the family's 1533-position model. The record is from RNAcentral.